This 1184-nucleotide long non-coding RNA is filed under the name Aquila chrysaetos chrysaetos. Its description in RNAcentral is "lncRNA (ENSACCG00020007088.1)". Lineage: Eukaryota; Metazoa; Chordata; Aves; Accipitriformes; Accipitridae. The record is from RNAcentral.
AUGUCCAAAACUAACAAAUCAAAAUCUGGAUCCCGUUCUUCCCGUUCGAGGUCUGGAUCAAGAUCACGCUCACGUUCCUUCUCCAAAUCUCGCUCCCGUUCUCGUUCUGUCUCACGGUCGAGAAAACGCAGACUUAGAGGUUCUAAUAAAUGUACAGUUGGAGAGAGAAGGACAUGACAAAACUAAAUUAGAGGCGGAGACUUGAGUCAAACCAAGUUCUUUGCAGAAGGAAGCUGGAAGAUACAUGGUCAUUUGGGAGUAUCUGCCUAGUGAUGAAGGAACUUUGACAGUUGAAAACAAAGGCAUCCUGUGCAAACAUGAUCGUUUCCUCUGUGCUGCUGCUGAAUCUACUUGCGCUUUGUAAAUAACUCCUUUUUUUAAAAAUAGAAUCAAAAUGGAGGGGGUUAGUACAGACAAGUCAUCUUGCAUGGCGUUAGGAUGUUCUCUGAGGUAGGUCUCGUUGUAUCUUGGCAUAAAAGUCCAUUGUUGUGUACUUCAGCAUACACCACAAAAAUUGUUGUACUCUUCAUUUGGUAGGUUUACUGUUCUAAGUUGUUUUGCCAUGUUGGAGUCUGCCUAAUAUUUCUUGCUUUCUUUAUGACUUUAUUUUUCAUUUUUACUUAUUGUGAAAUGGUGGGUGCUUUAGAACUGGAGCAGUGUGUAUUAGCUGGCUAGCUACAGGGGCUGGCAGAGUUGGGAAAACUACUACUUGCAGUGUUUCUUUUGCGUAACAUUUUCUGUAUUUUUCUAAAAAGAUUUCUAGUAAAUAAUCUCUGCAACUUUUGGAGUGAAAUCUCCCUGCUGCAAGCAUCUAUAAAAUGAUAGAACAGGUUUUGGAAGCAGCGUACAACAGGUCCCUUGCUGGUAAUUGAUCACAAAUGCAGCAGUUGUCUGAAAAUGGGAGUGUAUGUAUUCUUAGUACUUUUGACUAGGGCUCAUUAUAAUUGGUUCUUGCUGUCUGCCUCUUGUGCUUUCGUCUCAGAUAACUUGCUUAGGUUUUUUGGUUAUUUGAAGUAAAGGAUGAAGCAUAUGUUAAAAUUAUCAUUGAGCUGUUUGCUAGCAAUGACUAUACAUUACAUUUUAGCGUGAAACUGUAUUUGAUAGGUGGAAGAAAUAAAAACAGAACUAGAGUUUGUCUCUGACUGCAGGCAUAUAUGCUAAUCUUGUAGGAAUUCCUAACAUGG